This 1361-nucleotide ribosomal RNA is filed under the name uncultured bacterium. RNAcentral describes it as "bacterial SSU rRNA". It matches the Rfam family "Bacterial small subunit ribosomal RNA", at positions 28 to 1381 of the family's 1533-position model. The record is from RNAcentral.
AUUGAACGCUGGCGGCAGGCCUAACACAUGCAAGUCGAGCGGUAGCACAGAGAGCUUGCUCUCGGGUGACGAGCGGCGGACGGGUGAGUAAUGUCUGGGAAACUGCCUGAUGGAGGGGGAUAACUACUGGAAACGGUAGCUAAUACCGCAUAACGUCGCAAGACCAAAGUGGGGGACCUUCGGGCCUCAUGCCAUCAGAUGUGCCCAGAUGGGAUUAGCUAGUAGGUGGGGUAACGGCUCACCUAGGCGACGAUCCCUAGCUGGUCUGAGAGGAUGACCAGCCACACUGGAACUGAGACACGGUCCAGACUCCUACGGGAGGCAGCAGUGGGGAAUAUUGCACAAUGGGCGCAAGCCUGAUGCAGCCAUGCCGCGUGUGUGAAGAAGGCCUUCGGGUUGUAAAGCACUUUCAGCGGGGAGGAAGGCGGUGAGGUUAAUAACCUCAUCGAUUGACGUUACCCGCAGAAGAAGCACCGGCUAACUCCGUGCCAGCAGCCGCGGUAAUACGGAGGGUGCAAGCGUUAAUCGGAAUUACUGGGCGUAAAGCGCACGCAGGCGGUCUGUCAGGUCGGAUGUGAAAUCCCCGGGCUCAACCUGGGAACUGCAUUCGAAACUGGCAGGCUAGAGUCUUGUAGAGGGGGGUAGAAUUCCAGGUGUAGCGGUGAAAUGCGUAGAGAUCUGGAGGAAUACCGGUGGCGAAGGCGGCCCCCUGGACAAAGACUGACGCUCAGGUGCGAAAGCGUGGGGAGCAAACAGGAUUAGAUACCCUGGUAGUCCACGCCGUAAACGAUGUCGAUUUGGAGGUUGUGCCCUUGAGGCGUGGCUUCCGGAGCUAACGCGUUAAAUCGACCGCCUGGGGAGUACGGCCGCAAGGUUAAAACUCAAAUGAAUUGACGGGGGCCCGCACAAGCGGUGGAGCAUGUGGUUUAAUUCGAUGCAACGCGAAGAACCUUACCUGGUCUUGACAUCCACAGAACCUUCCAGAGAUGGAUUGGUGCCUUCGGGAACUGUGAGACAGGUGCUGCAUGGCUGUCGUCAGCUCGUGUUGUGAAAUGUUGGGUUAAGUCCCGCAACGAGCGCAACCCUUAUCCUUUGUUGCCAGCGGUUAGGCCGGGAACUCAAAGGAGACUGCCAGUGAUAAACUGGAGGAAGGUGGGGAUGACGUCAAGUCAUCAUGGCCCUUACGACCAGGGCUACACACGUGCUACAAUGGCAUAUACAAAGAGAAGCGACCUCGCGAGAGCAAGCGGACCUCAUAAAGUAUGUCGUAGUCCGGAUUGGAGUCUGCAACUCGACUCCAUGAAGUCGGAAUCGCUAGUAAUCGUAGAUCAGAAUGCUACGGUGAAUACGUUCCCGGGCCU